Molecule: ribosomal RNA, 433 nt
Filed under: uncultured bacterium
Lineage: Bacteria
Description: partial 16S ribosomal RNA
Rfam family: Bacterial small subunit ribosomal RNA
Source: RNAcentral
GACGAACGCUGGCGGCGUGCCUAACACAUGCAAGUCGAACGAGACGUUCGGGCCUAGGGGCGCACGGGGGCGUAAGGCGGGGGAAGCUGCACUUAGGUUCGGAAUAACUCCCCGAAGGGGGUGCUAAUACAGGUUAAUGUCAUCGGACCUAAGAUUUCUCGCCUUUGGAUGGGCGCGUGUAGGAUUCGCUAGUUGGUAGGGGAAAAGCCUGCCAAGGCCACGAUGCUUAGCUGGUCUGGGAGGAUGCCCCGCCACGCUGGGACUGCGACCCGGCCCACACUCCUACGGGGGGCAGCAGUGGGUAAUAUUGUGCGAGGGGCGAUGGCCUGGUCCAGCAGCGCCGCGUGUGUGAUGAAGGGCUUAGGGUUGCAAAUCUCUUUUACCCGAGAUGAUAAUGACAGUACCGGGUGAAUAAGCACCGGCUAACUCCGUG